This 505-nucleotide ribosomal RNA is filed under the name uncultured bacterium. RNAcentral's name for it is "bacterial SSU rRNA". It matches the Rfam family "Bacterial small subunit ribosomal RNA", at positions 32 to 512 of the family's 1533-position model. The record is from RNAcentral.
AAUCAACGCUGGCGGCGUGCCUCAGACAUGCAAGUCGAACGCGAAAGUCUCCUUCGGGAGGCAAGUAGAGUGGCGCACGGGUGAGUAACACGUAGGUAAUCUACCUUUGGAUGGGGAAUAACAACCGGAAACGGUUGCUAAUACCGCAUAAUGCAGCGGCACCUAAUGGUGACAGUUGUUAAAGCGGGGGAUCGAAAGACCUCGCGUCUGAAGAGGAGCCUGCGGCGGAUUAGCUAGUUGGUAAGGUAAUGGCUUACCAAGGCUACGAUCCGUAACCGGCCUGAGAGGGCGGUCGGUCACACUGACACUGACAUACGGGUCAGACUCCUACGGGAGGCAGCAGUCGGGAAUUUUGGGCAAUGGGCGAAAGCCUGACCCAGCAACGCCGCGUGAAGGAUGAAAUCCCUCGGGAUGUAAACUUCGCAAGAACGGGAAGAAUAAGCGAGAGUUAAUAUCUUUCGUGAUGACGGUACCGUUUGUAAGCUCCGGCUAACUCCGUGCCAGC